CGGCGUGCUAUACAUGCAAGUCGAGCGAACGGACGAGAAGCUUGCUUCUCUGAUGUUAGCGGCGGACGGGUGAGUAACACGUGGAUAACCUACCUAUAAGACUGGGAUAACUUCGGGAAACCGGAGCUAAUACCGGAUAAUAUUUUGAACCGCAUGGUUCAAAAGUGAAAGACGGUCUUGCUGUCACUUAUAGAUGGAUCCGCGCUGCAUUAGCUAGUUGGUAAGGUAACGGCUUACCAAGGCAACGAUGCAUAGCCGACCUGAGAGGGUGAUCGGCCACACUGGAACUGAGACACGGUCCAGACUCCUACGGGAGGCAGCAGUAGGGAAUCUUCCGCAAUGGGCGAAAGCCUGACGGAGCAACGCCGCGUGAGUGAUGAAGGUCUUCGGAUCGUAAAACUCUGUUAUUAGGGAAGAACAUAUGUGUAAGUAACUGUGCACAUCUUGACGGUACCUAAUCAGAAAGCCACGGCUAACUACGUGCCAGCAGCCGCGGUAAUACGUAGGUGGCAAGCGUUAUCCGGAAUUAUUGGGCGUAAAGCGCGCGUAGGCGGUUUUUUAAGUCUGAUGUGAAAGCCCACGGCUCAACCGUGGAGGGUCAUUGGAAACUGGAAAACUUGAGUGCAGAAGAGGAAAGUGGAAUUCCAUGUGUAGCGGUGAAAUGCGCAGAGAUAUGGAGGAACACCAGUGGCGAAGGCGACUUUCUGGUCUGUAACUGACGCUGAUGUGCGAAAGCGUGGGGAUCAAACAGGAUUAGAUACCCUGGUAGUCCACGCCGUAAACGAUGAGUGCUAAGUGUUAGGGGGUUUCCGCCCCUUAGUGCUGCAGCUAACGCAUUAAGCACUCCGCCUGGGGAGUACGACCGCAAGGUUGAAACUCAAAGGAAUUGACGGGGACCCGCACAAGCGGUGGAGCAUGUGGUUUAAUUCGAAGCAACGCGAAGAACCUUACCAAAUCUUGACAUCCUUUGACAACUCUAGAGAUAGAGCCUUCCCCUUCGGGGGACAAAGUGACAGGUGGUGCAUGGUUGUCGUCAGCUCGUGUCGUGAGAUGUUGGGUUAAGUCCCGCAACGAGCGCACCCUUUAGGCCUAGUUGCCAUCAUUAAGUUGGGCACUCUAAGUUGACUGCCGGUGACAACCGAGAGGAGGUGGGGGAUGACGUCAAAUCAUCAUGCCCGUUAUGAUUUGGGCUACACACGUGCUACAUUGCACAAUACAAAGGGCAGCGAAACGGCGGAGUCAAGCAAAUUCCAUAUAAGAGGGUGCAGUUCGGAUUGUAGUCUGCAACUCGACUACAUGAAGCUGGAAUCGCUAGUAAUCGUAGAUCAGCAUGCUACGGUGAAUACGUUCCCGGGUCUUGUACACACCGCCCGUCACACCACGAGAGUUUGUAACACCCGAAGCCGGUGGAGUAACCUUUUAGGAGCUAGCCGUCGAAG
Molecule: ribosomal RNA, 1439 nt
Filed under: Staphylococcus aureus
Lineage: Bacteria; Bacillati; Bacillota; Bacilli; Caryophanales; Staphylococcaceae
Description: bacterial SSU rRNA
Rfam family: Bacterial small subunit ribosomal RNA
Source: RNAcentral